UACGAAGGGAGCUAGCGUUGUUCGGAAUCACUGGGCGUAAAGAGCGCGCAGGCGGUCGUUCAAGUCGAGUGUGAAAGCCCCCGGCUCAACUGGGGAGGGUCACUCGAUACUGAUCGACUUGAAGGCAGGAGAGGGAAGCGGAAUUCCCGGUGUAGUGGUGAAAUGCGUAGAUAUCGGGAGGAACACCAGUGGCGAAGGCGGCUUCCUGGCCUGCUCUUGACGCUGAGGCGCGAAAGCUAGGGUAGCAAACGGG
RNAcentral lists this ribosomal RNA (253 nucleotides) under uncultured bacterium. RNAcentral's name for it is "partial 16S ribosomal RNA". It matches the Rfam family "Bacterial small subunit ribosomal RNA", at positions 524 to 776 of the family's 1533-position model. The record is from RNAcentral.